RNAcentral lists this long non-coding RNA (830 nucleotides) under Cricetulus griseus (Chinese hamster). Its description in RNAcentral is "lncRNA (ENSCGRG00015029057.1)". Lineage: Eukaryota; Metazoa; Chordata; Mammalia; Rodentia; Cricetidae. The record is from RNAcentral.
CUCAGCAUCUCAUGCAUUCCAGGCUGGACUUGAACCCUGGGACUGCAGACAAUUUCUCUGUGGCCUGGUCUACAAGAGCUAGUUCUAGGACAACCUCCAAAGGCACAGAGAAACUCUGUCUCCAAAAACCAAAAAAAGAAAAAAUAGAAAAGAAAAGAAGAAGAAGAAGAAUUGGUAAGUGGCCCUGUGCUACUAACCCCGAUUGCCAACAGCAGCGAGGUUGCAGUGACCCCUCCGGUGGCUGUGAGAGGAAGUGGCAACAAAGCAGAACUCGGACCACGCUGAGAGGGCCGCAUCAUUUUUAUUUAUUGGAAUAGGACAUCCGAUGUGCAGAAUUCUUGGUGACCUUAGGUCCGGGGAUACAGUCUCAGGAGCCUCUAAACAUGGCUGUUAAUGAAUUGCAUCUAUUGUAUUGGUUGGUGCAUCCAACACCAAGCUCAAGAGCCCACAGUAAGCCAGCUAGGGAUGAGGCUCGGUUGGCAGGGUGUGUUCGUAGCCCUGGGUAGAAAGUUUGAGGGCUUGUAAUCCCUGCACAGGGAAGUAGAAUCGGGAGGAUCAGAUGUUCAAAACCAUCCUCAGCUACAUCAAUGAGCUGUAGGCCAUCCUGGGCUACAAGCAUGACAGUAGCAGUUCCGUCCAUCUAUGUCUGCCUGUGUGACAAGAUCUUCUUAGUUUGUGCCCCAUUGCCCCCAGAUAUAACCUGCUGUCCUGAAUGCCAUGCAUAGCUUGUUCUUACUUUGAAAUAAAUGCUUGUAUGUUGUAAUCUUAAGAUUUAUUUUUUAGCCGGGCAUUGGUGGUGCACGCCUUUAAUCCCAGCACUCGGGAGGCAG